CCUCGCGAAUGCCCUACCGGUUNAAAGAGGUGAUCCAGCCACAGAGUNCCCUCGUCAGUUACUACCUUGAUAACGACUUNCACACCCCAAUACACCGACCAUAACCUAUAGAGCAGACCUCUCUCCCUUGCGGGUCUAAUGCUAGGCAGACUAUCUAGUACAACACAGGACUAUAUCGUGAUAGUAGACGGAGCGGAUAGUAGUAACAAAGGCCCCGGGAACCGUAAUANACACCCAGCGAGACGAUAGCCUGGAAUCACGCAGANAAUAACAUAGACCGAAUUACACAAACCUAUACAGCGCCAAGGGCCGAAAGAUAUGGCAAAGCACAUAAACGAAUACCANAACAUNGGAAGAAACACGGGGGACCUAAAAUCUGACCACCGGGAAACUACUAAGAAGNANCAGAUUGACGCCACAAAGCACCAGUUUAAAAACCCAGGAGGNAAGUAAAAAUACACAGACCAAGGAAAAGACACGGGAGGGGAAAUCACAAGGGGGAAAAACACACCANGAAGGGAACACACCCAAAAUGAAUGAGGACUUACAAAGAGAGCCCGAACGCCAAGGAAUAUAGGGUNAGGGUUUAAAAAGAGNACCCCCGANAANCCAAAAGAGAAAAAACAACAUUAAAAAUCANCAAAGGAAGGCCCAACCCAAAUGAGAGGGAGACCCAUUAGAGGAGAAANCCCAUAAAUAAAGCAAAACACAAGAAU
Molecule: ribosomal RNA, 716 nt
Filed under: uncultured bacterium
Lineage: Bacteria
Description: partial 16S ribosomal RNA
Source: RNAcentral